UUUAGGUUGGUUCUGCAGGUUACAUCUCUUUAAUUUCAAUUUUGAGGAGUAGUAUUGUAAGGAUCUGAAUUGCCUGUAUGUGUGAGCCUUUGGUUUUGGUAAGAAGCAUUUCAGUGAGCGCAGUGGGGUGGAGUGAGUGAGUGAGUGAGUGAGUGAGUGAGUGAGUGAGUGAGUGAGUGAGUGAGUGAAAAUGUACAGGGGUGAGUGUGUGCAGCUGUGUGAGUGCCUGCCCUCCUGUCGCGCACGUGUGAGUGUGUCUGCCCUCUCCUGGCAAAUCCGUGACCGACUGGCAGCUCCCGCGCACUGCACUCCCCGGACCAGCAGUGAGCGAUGCCCUACAGAAGCAGCCUUUUCACGCGGUCAGUGUGUGCCCCAGGCCCCUGCUGCUGACAGCAUCAUUAGCAGGAAGGACAGGCCAGAUUCUGACCUCACUUACACGUAACUCCCUACACCUGAAGUAACGCUUUUUCCCUUGGCAUUUCUGGAAUCAGCAUGGCAGUGACAGAUGCUGUUGGUCACUUAUUAAGACUGAAUGUUGCCAUUCCCAAGUAUAAAUGAAUGUUCAUUGUAUGAUACAACUUUCUUAUAAAGCCAUACUUUUGUAAUUUUGGUUUCUCUUUUUUAGGGGGGGGGAAUCUUCCCCAUUAUUGUGUUCGCACAUUACUCGCUGCAUGAUUAAAGAUAAAACAAUUGUAACAUGCUGGAAUAAAUUAUAUAUACAUAGCCUGAUAUAAUUAGGU
Molecule: long non-coding RNA, 740 nt
Filed under: Junco hyemalis (dark-eyed junco)
Lineage: Eukaryota; Metazoa; Chordata; Aves; Passeriformes; Passerellidae
Description: lncRNA (ENSJHYG00000015604.1)
Source: RNAcentral